RNAcentral lists this ribosomal RNA (305 nucleotides) under uncultured bacterium. RNAcentral's name for it is "bacterial SSU rRNA". It matches the Rfam family "Bacterial small subunit ribosomal RNA", at positions 334 to 642 of the family's 1533-position model. The record is from RNAcentral.
CACCCUACGGGAGGCAGCAGUGGGGAAUAUUGCACAAUGGGGGAAACCCUGAUGCAGCGACGCCGCGUGAGUGAAGAAGUAUCUCGGUACGUAAAGCUCUAUCAGCAGGGAAGAAAAAAAGUCUUUGGCUUUGGACGGUACCUGACUAAGAAGCCCCGGCUAACUACGUGCCAGCAGCCGCGGUAAUACGUAGGGGGCAAGCGUUAUCCGGAUUUACUGGGUGUAAAGGGAGCGUAGACGGCAGCGCAAGUCCGGAGUGAAAGCCCGGGGCCCAACCCCGGGACUGCUCUGGAAACUGUUAAGCU